GGCACUGGGGGUGAGGUUGUAAUGUAGCUUUACUCUGGAUACCCCGUCCACAUCAGUUCGGGUGAACAGAGAAGCCUGUUUACCGGUCAGGAGUGUUUAAGUCCCAGCUCUGUUGCCUAGAGAAGCAGACGCACCCGCAGGCCUUUCCUGGCUCCAGCUCCAGCUCAUCUCCAGUCAUCCUACCCUGUUGCUUCCAUGCAGAUGUGUCUGGCAGAAGAUGCAUCAGAUCCUUGGAGCAUGAACACAGUGUGAAUUUGCAUCCAUGUGGUUUGGAGGAGCCAGGAGAGUCACCAGCAGGCACAAGCACUAUCCCAUCCCCACUACACCUUCUGGGAUGGAGGGAGGCCCCACUGCCUGAUGGUCACCCACUCUUCCACAGUGAGGAGUGUGACACCCCAGGUCAGCUGUGCAGGAAAGUGGACACCAUAUAAAGCUUGAGCCUGAGUCUGAAGCAAAGAAGACUUAGAGGCAUUAGCCCAGGGGAGUCAGAGGACAGCAAGCGGCAGGUCUGCCGUGUGGGUGGCAGGAAACGGGAGGGUGAGGAGCGGGUGCUUGGAGUGACCCUGAGAGACAGCACUUCACAGGGUCACGCAGGCCUCCUGCAUCUGAAUGGCUCACAGUUACGGGCUUAAAAGGAUCAGAAUGCGAUGAAGCACAUUUAACACACUCAGCAGAGACCAAUUCAGUCUUGGUUGAUUUGCACGGUGUUUUAAAAUCAUGCUAGCCCCCCAGUGGACAUCAUUAUGAGCCCCCAAAGAGCCAGGCUCCAGUCCCGCUGCGUGGGUGCCUCGUUAUCUCCAGUUUGGGAGAACAGACACUUCCCCCUGUAAGCAGGGAGCUCCCUCCGGAACAUUGGAUUUUCCAGGUGCUUUGCCUGCAAUCUGGGGGCUUCUCAACCUGGAGGACGGCCAUGCUUUGGCCUCCCAUGGGGUUUGAGCAUCAGCAUCAGCUACAGAAGGGGUGAGCAUACUGCCGUUCAAUUAUGGUUGCCCAUGACAACGGAUCUCUUUCUUGAACUGAAAUUCUUUAUUAAUGAGGAAGCCCAGAGUACCAUAGAAUGUUAAUUUCUGAGAUUUAAAAGCACACUUGGCGGUAAAAUUUGGCUUGCCUGUUCAUAGAUUUUGGAGCCCGGGGGGAGCUUAGAAGUGAUUUUGUCCGGUAUCUCCACGCCACAGCCAAGGAAACAGAGACUAAGAGGUGACGCGGUCCCCUCGAGGCUCUGUGGCCGUUUAGAAGCCAGGACUGGCCUUACUGUUCAACCUUCCAUCCAUUGGCAGAAACAGAAGACUUUGUUAAAACAAUCAAACGUAAGAGCUGCCAUGUGCAAAAGUUCUUGGUGUGGGCAGGGCACAGGGCUGACUUUUUACACUUAUUACUCCACUUAAUCUUUGCAACACUUCAUCAGGAGUAUUUUGUUUCCAUCCCAGCUGG
RNAcentral lists this long non-coding RNA (1431 nucleotides) under Bos indicus x Bos taurus (hybrid cattle). Its description in RNAcentral is "lncRNA (ENSBIXG00005008154.1)". Lineage: Eukaryota; Metazoa; Chordata; Mammalia; Artiodactyla; Bovidae. The record is from RNAcentral.